AUCUCCAUCCUUCCCAAUCACAGGAAGUUCCUAAGGUUUGCUUUCAGGGGCGAAGCUUACCAGUAUCGAGUUCUUCCUUUUGGUCUAGCACUCUCAGCCCGAACUUUCACGAAGUGUGUGGAUGCUGCGCUGGCUCCACUGCAACUCCAGGGCAUCCGCAUACUAAAUUAUAUCGACGAUUGGUUGAUUUUGGCUCAAUCAGAGCAGAUGGUGGUUCGACAUCGAGAUGUCGUUCUCGCCCAUAUGAAAAAGUUGGGGUUAAGAUUAAACGCCAAGAAAAGUGUACUUUCUCCAUUACAGAGGACCACUUAUCUGGGCGUGGUGUGGGAUUCGACCACGAUGCAGGCACGCCUGUCCCCUGCUCGUAUCGAGUCGAUCCUCACGUCAGUCAAGAGAGUCAGAGAAGGCCAGUCACUCACUGUCAAGCAGUUUCAGAAACUUUUGGGGUUAAUGGCAGCUGCGUCCAACGUGAUACCUCUUGGCCUGCUGUACAUGAGACCCCUACAGUGGUGGCUCAAGACCAAGGGGUUCUCCCCGAGGGGAAACCCACUUCGCAUGAUCAAGGUCACGCGGCGAUGCCUACGUGCCUUAGACAUGUGGAGGAAACCUUGGUUCUUGUCUCAGGGCCCGGUGCUGGGAGCUCCUUGUCGCCGCGUGACGCUAGCGACGGACGCGUCCCUCACCGGCUGGGGUGCGGUCAUGAGUGGCCACCCUGCCCGCGGUCUGUGGAGUGGUCGCCAUCUGACAUGGCAUAUCAACUGUCUAGAGUUGCUAGCAGUAUUUCGAGCAUUGAAUCAUUUUCUCCCAGACCUAAGAGGUCACCAUGUGUUAGUGCGCACCGACAACACAGCGGUGGUCUCUUAUAUCAACCAUCAAGGAGGCCUGCGCUCGCGACCCCUGUACCAGCUGGCACGCCAGAUCCUUGUGUGGUCCCAGGGCAAACUCCUUUCGCUGAGAGCAGUACAUAUUCCUGGGCAUAUGAAUAUGGGAGCAGACAUCCUGUCGAGGCAGGGGCCGAGGCCCGGGGAAUGGAGGCUUCACCCCGAGGUGGUGAAGCAGAUAUGGACUAUAUUUGGUCAGGCUCAGGUGGAUCUGUUUGCGACUCAGAUGACAUCGCACUGUCCCCUUUGGUUCUCUCUAGUUCGUCCAGCUCCUCUGGGACUGGAUGCUAUGGUACAGACGUGGCCGAGGCUUCGUCUGUACGCUUUUCCCCCGAUCGCUCUGCUCCCGGGAGUUCUGGCGAGAGUACGCCAGGACGGGGUCCGUCUUCUAUUAGUAGCCCCGUUCUGGCCGGGCCGAGUAUGGUUCUCAGAUCUGAUCUCGCUCCUCGACGGCUCUCCAUGGGAGAUUCCCAUCAGGAGGGAUCUCCUCUCACAGGCGGAGGGCACGAUAUUCCACCCCCGCCCGGAGCUGUGGAAGUUAUGGGUGUGGCCCCUGAGGGGGCACAUCUCGUAGCUUCUGGUCUCUCAACCGAGGUUGUUGAGACCAUCCUCCAAUCCAGAGCUCCCUCAACGAGGAAACUGUAUGCCUUGAAGUGGAAACUUUUCACUUCUUGGUGCGGAGAUCGCCAAAUUGACCCAGUCAACUGCCCAGUCGGUACAGUGCUUGAGUUCCUGCAGGCCCGUUUCUCCGCAGGGUUGACUCACUCCACCCUGAAGGUCUACGUGGCGGCCAUUGCGGCCUACCACGCCCCUCUCGGUGACCAAUCAGUGGGCAGACACCCCCUAGUUUCACGUUUCCUCCGUGGCACACUGAGGCUGAGGCCUCCGAUACGUUCUCGUGUCCCCACGUGGGACCUGGCUGUGGUGCUAGAAGCUCUUUGUAAGCCUCCUUUCGAGCCUAUUGAAGAAAUUGCUGGCCGCUAUCUUACGAUUAAGACUGCUUUUCUUCUAGCUAUUACUUCUCUAAAGAGAGUUGGGGAUCUUCAGGCCCUCUCAGUGGCCCCUUCCUAUUUGGACUUUGCGCCCGGCAUGGCCAAAGUGUUUCUCUACCCUCGAGCGGGGUAUGUCCCGAAGGUUCCCUCAGUUAUCCCGCAGCCUAUUGUACUGCAGGCCUUCAGUCCUCCUCCCUUCGGGGACCCAGACCAGCAGAAGCUAAACUGUAUGUGUCCAGUGCGAGCACUGGACGCAUACGUCCACAGAGCUGCCAUGUGGAGAAAGGCGGACCAACUGUUUGUAUGCUAUGGUCCCCCUAAGAGAGGUCUUCCAGCCACAAAACAGACCCUCAGUCGGUGGAUAGUGGAUGUAAUUACUACCGCCUAUGAGUCCUCUGAUCUCCCCUCACCAUUGGGAGUCAAGGCUCACUCUACCCGCAGUAUGGCGGCCUCCAAGGCCUUCUUGUCAGGUGUGUCCAUGCAGGACAUCUGCAACGCAGCUGGAUGGUCCACGCCCCUCACAUUUGUCAGAUUUUAUGAUUUAGAUCUGCGAUGCACUCCAGGCUCUUCUGUUCUCUUGCCUUAGCUGUGCUCCCUAUAUACACACUAGGCAGGGACUUGCAAGUCUGGCGGCGUGGGCAUUCUCGUUCCCAUAGCGUUUUUCCGACGCAGCUCGAGUUCCUGAAGGGGAACGUCUCAGGUUACGUAUGUAACCAUGGUUCCCCGAAGGGAACGAGACGCUGCGUCUCUAGGCCAUACUUCCGGCAUCCCUGCCAGAGCUCGCUUCAUUCCUAGAAGCUGAUGCUCGUUCCACCUCACGUGCUUUUAUAGCUUCCUGGUCGCUACGUCACCCACCUAUGACGUCACGCCCAUUCAUGGGACUGAUUACACAUGUUAUUCAGAGCUGGUCACGCUGAAGGGCGUUCCCAUU
Long non-coding RNA from Cyprinus carpio (common carp), 2804 nucleotides. The record is from Ensembl. Lineage: Eukaryota; Metazoa; Chordata; Actinopteri; Cypriniformes; Cyprinidae.